Long non-coding RNA from Vicia villosa (hairy vetch), 4735 nucleotides. RefSeq lists it as uncharacterized. NCBI's taxonomy places the organism in Eukaryota, Viridiplantae, Streptophyta, Magnoliopsida, Fabales, Fabaceae. The transcript is spliced from 12 exons. The record is from RefSeq and is a predicted model, not a curated record.
CAAGUAACAAACGCAUAAAAGGUAACAAACAAGAGCACCUAUUAUGCUCUUUGCUCUUUAUAAUCUACUUAGAAACGGUAAAUUGCACUAAGUUAAACUAGUAAAUAUCUAUCAUUUAAGAAAAGUCUACCAUUUAGACAAUUCUUAGACCAUCCACAUCAGCAAAUGCUCCCUCAAUUUUCCACGUCACUUUUCUCAAUUUUGUGCUCUGCCUUCAUUAUGCUACGACAGUUACAAUUCUCACGUACGUUGCAGUUACUAAGUAUCCUCUUUCUCUUCCAAAACCUUCCUCUUAUUAUUCCAAAACGGUUUCGAAAUCCUUUUUCCUUUCACACUCAGAACGAAUCUCCUUCCUCUCUCUCUCCGAGCCAAAACGGCAACGCCUCCACUCUUCUUCUCCGACGAACUGCUCUGAUUCAUCCCCUCUGAUAGUCUUCCGCAUCCGUUCAUCGGUUUGGUUAUGUUGCUGAGGUGUUUUGUUCGCGUUUGAACCUGUGGUGUUUGGUUUUGAAUGUUUGAUGAUGAAUGUUGAUUUGAAACAGCUCUGAAUUGCCAAAGCUAGGUGAGAUCUUUCCUGAGUUUAUGUUAUUUUCUCUUUAAUCUCUCUUCUUCUCUCUCAAACUUUCUGCUUUAUUUUCUCCAUUCAAAUGUGAUUUAGGUGUAUUAAUGUUGCCUAAUUUAGUUUUAUUUUUGGAAUGAAUUAAUAGGCCACCAAGUGUUUGUUAUAAUGAUUGAAGAUUGUUGGAGAAUGUAAGAGAAUCAAUUCAAGAUUGAAGAUGUUAUGAGAUUGAAAUCGGUGAUGGUGAUUAUGGAGAGAAGAUUUGAGAUAUGGAGGAGGAUUUGGGAAUCGCAAACUCUGUCCUCUGAUUCUGUUAUUUUGUUCCGGUUAUAAUUAUUUCCUCUCAUUUUCUGUUAUGGAAAUUGAGAUCCUCGUCGUCAUCUUCUUCCAAUUCUCCCCACCUUAUCUUUGCCGCUUCGUUUGGAUAAACAAUGUGUUCGGUUGUUCUUCAACUACUGGGAAUUAGAAUUCAAGUUGUUUCUUUGUGACUGCAAAAGCAAAAAAGAAACAGUGGAAUGCAGGAUUUUGGUGACAAAUAUAUGGGUAACAUACAUUCAGCAUUCAGGAUUUCGCGUAUCUUUAUGAUCCAAACAAUGAGACUGCUGAAGCAUUUGUGCCAGCUCAGAUAUUGUAUGAUGCAUUCCAUGGAAGGUAUCACAAUUUUGCAGGAGCAAUAGUUCUACUAUUUGUGAUUUGGGGUUCAUUCUUAUUUGGUGGACUAUCAAUCACCACAAGUGCUGCCAGAGUCGUAAGUACUACGAUGUUACAAGAGUAUGUACCGACGCAUUUGUAUAUUCAUUCAUUAUGGUUUCGUUGAUUUGAUUUUAGUGGUAUGUAGUUGGACAAUUUCUCCGUUUUACCGGAUCGGGUUUAUAUGCUUACUUUAAGCUCAUUGGCAAAUAACAUGUUCAAGUCCUGUAGAUGAAAAUGAGGGCGACCAAUGCAUCUGUCGAAGAUGACCAGAAUAUUAGAUGAAACGGACAUUCGGUUCUGUGGAAAAUGUGAUGGACUAAUCUAAAGAAUGAAGAAAUUGAUGACUGGCUUGAUGAUUCAUUCUCAACUACAGGACCCAAUAAGAUUCACCCAUUAAUACUCAAGAUGUCGGUAAUGCUUUUCUCCUCUCCGGUGGCAGCGAAGGCAUCGCCGCCUCACUCACCGCCGUUACACAUCCUGAUUCCAUCCAUGAUGGACGUUCUUACAUUCGAUUUGAGAAUAUAACCUUUAGGAGAAGAAAAUAUGAAGCCAAGGCGCGUGGAACAGUGCCAGUACACAUUAUUAUUUUUGAGGCUGCUGAUCGUGAUGAUAUAGGUGGUUCUGUUUAUGGCGGACAAAGAGCAAUCUGUUGCACCCGUGAUUUAGCAAAGAUGGGAGGUUGUAAGCAAGGAGAGGUUAUCCGGAGAGCUUUCCGCCUGAUGUAACCACACCUGGUGUGAACAUACUUGCUGCCUAUUCACUAUUUUGAUGAGCUUUCCACCAUCCGAAUUGGAGUCCAGCAGCUAUGGAAUUAGCUAUCAUGAACACAGGUUGUUUUAGUGGUGAAGUUGAAGGUUGUAUUGAUCAGGCUGCCGAGACUGAAGUACCUAUGAUCAGGCUCCCGACGAUGGAGAAAUCCGGCUGCGUUUUAUGAAUGGAGUUCAGCGCGAAUGCGAACAAAAUUGAAGGGCAAAGGUGCAUGGGAUGCUCUCUCAAAUGGAUUUGAAUAUAGUUUCUUCAUUUGCAGAAAAAUUGGUGAAAGAGCAAGCAUCGAUGAACACAGUUUGAUGAUGUUGCUGAGGUCGGGUUUUGUGAUUUCAUGACUGCAUUGUUCUCAUUUGAAGGUUUGGCGUCGUGAAAAGAUUGUAACAAUACUUGAUCACUAUAUCUUCACAAGUGAUGAACGUGUCAAUUGCAAUGUAGACAUACUUAGGGAUUCUUUCCGGGAGCAAAAUAUUAACUACUUUUAUGAUAUUAAGGAAGUUAGUAAUUUUAAGGUAAAUCCAGAUUACAAAGGUGUUUGUCACGUUGCUCUUGCUCAAGAAGGUCAUUGUAGGCCAGGAGAGGUUCAAAUAGUUUAACAAGUUAUUUGAAAGAACAAUCAGGAAAAGGAAAUAGAAGAGUUUGUUUUGUGAAUAGCCAUGCUGAAUCUGACGUUUCUAUGCAAAACCAGGUGCGGGACACCAACCGCUUCCCUUACCUACGUACCGCUUUGGAGAUCCACGCAAACCGCGACACGCAGCACCUCCGGCCGGACCACUGGCAGCCGCAAGACCUCCACCGAGCAACCACCAGAAGAAGCGGUCGUGGAUCCACCCGACCCGCUCCGAUAAAAGGCCGAUCCGCCGCCAUCAUCUUCUUACGGUUCUGUCGAUUUCUUUUCAUUAUUUCUUCUUUUGAUCCUUUUAAUGGUUGAUUUUCUUUGAAUGUGUGUAUUGUAUUUUAGAAAGAAAAAGGUUGGGUUUUGAGAAAAAUAAAUGGUGAUAGAAUUUGUGUAGGAGAAGAAGAGGAGGAUAAAAGACAUGUGUUGUUGUUUCUUUCUGAAAGUGACUUGCUUAUAUGACUUCUAUUAUGUUUUAUUUUUAUUUUUAUUUGCCAUGCCACAUGUCAUUUGUUUCAUUGGUGAAUGAAUUGCAUUAGAAGUAUCAAAAUUGUUUUGUUAUCACUAUGUCUCUAAUGUUGAAUACCACCUGAACAUCAUGAAGGUUCACCGCCCCACCUUGUGUUUUUUUUAUUUUUAUUUUUAUUUAGUUUUUUUUUACCAUGGAUAAUUAAACUUAUAAUUUAUUUUUAUUUUUUGUUGUCACUUGGUUCAACUUAUUCGCUUUCCAAUUUACACCCUUGUUUUUAUAAUAAGCACCCCCUUUUAGGUUUUAUUUAUUUAGAUAAUUAAUUAGUUUCAUUAGUAUUUGUCUUUUAAUCAAAUUUAAAAUAAUUAGGUGAAUCAUGUUUAAUGAUAGUAAACUAAUUUUCUUUUCUUAGUUCAUUAGAGUAACAAUUUCAAGGAAAAAUAAAAAACACAAAAAAUAAUAUUUUUUUUCUCACCAUAAAAAAAAAAAACAAACAAAAAAUAUAUUUCGCUUAAUUAUAAUUUCUUUUUAGAAUUUUGAUAUGCAUAUUCUUUAACCUUGAUUGGUAUUAUUAAAUAUUUCUUCACUAUUUUUUAUGCAUUGUUUCUUAUAUUCGUACUAACAUUCUCUUGAGUUUUGCGAGGUACUAUAUUUGAGGCCUCGGACUUUCUCGUGGACAUUUAUAAUUCAUUCUGAUUUGUAUAUAUUUUAUUCUCGCUUUUUUUUUUUUAAGUAUUAUGUAUCUACACAUGGAUUGUAAUAGCCUUAACUAGAUUUUUAUUUUUCGCACUUCCUUUUAUUGUUGGGUUAUGUAUCCCCUCAUCCCGAAGCCAUGUAAUAGUGUAGGUUUUACUUUCCCGCACUUUAAUUUUCUGUACAAAUAUUAAUUGUUAGAUGUAUGUUAAUAGGAUUGUAUGGUAAGACUAAAACUGAACAUAGCUAACUCUAAACUUAAGAUUAAAAUACCUGAAAAUAAUACACUUGCACGCACUCACCCCUAGGUUACGCCCCUCUUGGUUGCCUACGAUUAAAAAAGGUCGAGUCCCUCAAAACGUAGAGAUACCAAUUAGCAAAAGUCCCUCGAUUAAAAAUCAUCAAAGAUCAUGGUCCCUCGAUGCUGCCUAUAAAUACAUGAUCUCGUCCCUCGAAUGAUCGCCUAACGAAAGAUGAUUGUCCCUUCGAAUUUGCUAAAGGUAUCUCUACCUGUUGCCUUCCAACGACCUCGAUGACCCUUCGAUGACCCGCACGUCCAAUAUAACAAGGAUUUCCUACUUCUAUAUAGUAUGGAUAAUCCUGGGAAUCGUAAAAAGCAUAGAAAAAGACCAAUCUAGGGUAGUGCUCUUAAUAUGCCUAGCUCUAUUAAAAAACAUCUUUUCAACACUUUUUCAAAGACUAAGGCUACGCAUUUACGCUAAAGUCCUUAUGUCCCUUUUCAAUUCAAAACAAACAAAACAAACAUGAGCUAAGUAAAUUAAGAGCCCGUAGAUAACUACGGAUGAAAAGGGUGCUUGCACCUUCCCUUUUCAUAACUUACCCCCCGAGCCCGCUUUCUUUCAAAAGGGUCUUUUUCUGUACUUUUUGCCCUUCCUAACAUUGGACAAAAUAAAAGUCGGUGGCGACUCAUGCUCACCGC